AAAUGUGCAUCAGGCCAGAAGACAUGAGCCCUUUGGAAAGGUCUCGUGUCUUCUGGCUUGAUGCACAUUU
Molecule: microRNA precursor, 70 nt
Organism: Homo sapiens (human)
Lineage: Eukaryota; Metazoa; Chordata; Mammalia; Primates; Hominidae
Source: Ensembl